GGGGAAUUUUGGACAAUGGGGGCAACCCUGAUCCAGCCAUGCCGCGUGAGUGAAGAAGGCCUUCGGGUUGUAAAGCUCUUUCAGUUGGGAAGAAACGGAGUUCUCUAACAUAGGGCUCUAAUGACGGUACCGGCAGAAGAAGCACCGGCUAACUACGUGCCAGCAGCCGCGGUAAUACGUAGGGUGCGAGCGUUAAUCGGAAUUACUGGGCGUAAAGGGUGCGCAGGCGGUUGUGUAAGACAGGUGUGAAAUCCCCGGGCUUAACCUGGGAACUGCGUUUGUGCAUGCACAGCUAGAGUACGGCAGAGGGGGGUGGAAUUCCACGUGUAGCAGUGAAAUGCGUAGAUAUGUGGAGGAACACCAAUGGCGAAGGCAGCCCCCUGGGCCGAUACUGACGCUCAUGCACGAAAGCGUGGGGAGCAAAC
Molecule: ribosomal RNA, 425 nt
Filed under: uncultured bacterium
Lineage: Bacteria
Description: bacterial SSU rRNA
Rfam family: Bacterial small subunit ribosomal RNA
Source: RNAcentral